This is a non-coding RNA of Nasonia vitripennis (jewel wasp), 47 nucleotides long. Lineage: Eukaryota; Metazoa; Arthropoda; Insecta; Hymenoptera; Pteromalidae. The record is from Rfam.
CAAUCUGCCCUUUUCAGGGCAACUAAAUAUUAACACAGAAAAGAUUG